GUUAUAGAACCACUGCAGUAGGCUACAUAAAGUCUGGGGGUUCUCCAGGAAAUGCUGGAUAUCACUGCAGUAGGUUACAUAAAGUCUGGGGGUUCUUCAGGAGAUGUUGGAGAACCACUGCAGUAGGCUAAAUAAAGUCUGAGGGUUUUCGAGGAGAGGUUAGAGAACCACUGCAGUAGGCUGCAUAAGGUCUGGGGGUUCUCCAGGAGAGGUUAUAGAACCACUGCAGUCGGCUACAUAACGUCUGGGGGUUCUUCAGGAGAGGUUAUAGAACCACUGCAGUAGGUUACAUAAAGUCUGGGGGUUCUCCAGGAGAGGUUAUAGAACCACUGCAGUAGGCUGCAUAAAGUCUGGGGGUUCUCCAGGAGAGGUUAUAGAACCACUGCAGUAGGCUACAUGUACUUCUGUUAUGAUGUGUUCUGUAUUUUGUAUUUUGCAG
This 439-nucleotide long non-coding RNA is filed under the name Salmo salar (Atlantic salmon). RNAcentral describes it as "lncRNA (ENSSSAG00000087793.1)". Lineage: Eukaryota; Metazoa; Chordata; Actinopteri; Salmoniformes; Salmonidae. The record is from RNAcentral.